UACGGGAGGCAGCAGUGGGGAAUAUUGGACAAUGGGCGAAAGCCUGAUCCAGCCAUGCCGCGUGUGUGAAGAAGGCCUUCGGGUUGUAAAGCACUUUCAGUGGGGAAGAAAGCCUUGGGGCUAAUACCCUCGAGGAAGGACAUCACCCACAGAAGAAGCACCGGCUAACUCCGUGCCAGCAGCCGCGGUAAUACGGAGGGUGCGAGCGUUAAUCGGAAUUACUGGGCGUAAAGCGCGCGUAGGCGGUCUGAUAAGCCGGUUGUGAAAGCCCCGGGCUCAACCUGGGAACGGCAUCCGGAACUGUCAGGCUAGAGUGCAGGAGAGGAAGGUAGAAUUCCCGGUGUAGCGGUGAAAUGCGUAGAGAUCGGGAGGAAUACCAGUGGCGAAGGCGGUCUUCUGGACUGACACUGACGCUGAGGUGCGAAAGCGUGGGUAGCAAACAGGAUUAGCUACCCGGGUAGUC
Molecule: ribosomal RNA, 463 nt
Filed under: Vreelandella stevensii
Lineage: Bacteria; Pseudomonadati; Pseudomonadota; Gammaproteobacteria; Oceanospirillales; Halomonadaceae
Description: partial 16S ribosomal RNA
Rfam family: Bacterial small subunit ribosomal RNA
Source: RNAcentral